RNAcentral lists this ribosomal RNA (464 nucleotides) under uncultured bacterium. RNAcentral's name for it is "partial 16S ribosomal RNA". It matches the Rfam family "Bacterial small subunit ribosomal RNA", at positions 339 to 795 of the family's 1533-position model. The record is from RNAcentral.
CUACGGGGUGCUCCAGUGAGGAAUUUUGCGCAAUGGGGGAAACCCUGACGCAGCAACGCCGCGUGAGCGAAGAAGGCCUUCGGGUCGUAAAGCUCUGUCAAGUGGGAAAAAAAUUCUUUGAUGAACAGUCAAAGGACUUGAUGGUACCACUGGAGGAAGCACCGGCUAACUCCGUGCCAGCAGCCGCGGUAAUACGGAGGGUGCAAGCGUUGUUCGGAAUUACUGGGCGUAAAGAGCGUGUAGGCGGUUUGACAAGUCAGAUGUGAAAGCCCCGGGCUCAACCCGGGAAGUGCAUUUGAAACUGUUCCACUAGAGUAUGGGAGAGGAGAUUGGAAUUCCUGGUGUAGAGGUGAAAUUCGUAGAUAUCAGGAGGAACACCCGUGGCGAAGGCGAUUCUCUGGACCAAUACUGACGCUGAGACGCGAAAGCGUGGGGAGCAAACAGGAUUAGAUACCCGAGUAGUC